This 1353-nucleotide long non-coding RNA is filed under the name Homo sapiens (human). RNAcentral describes it as "HSALNT0153359". The record is from RNAcentral. Lineage: Eukaryota; Metazoa; Chordata; Mammalia; Primates; Hominidae.
UUUAGACAAAGGAUAAACUAACUUCUAAAACAAACAACCUCAAAAUUUCAGAGACUUAAUUACAUUAAGUUGUAUUAAAUAUUUCUUUUUUUACAUCACAGUUUAGUACAGAUCAUUUAGGAGCCCAGGCUAAUGGGUUUUCUCUCUAGGUUGUCUGUCUUCUAGGGCCUUGGCAUCCUUUAAUGGGUUCUCUAUAUCUGGCCAAGAAACAAAAAAAGUGAAAGAGAGAGAAAGAGAGUGCAGGAGCACACGCAAAGAGCUUGAGAAGUUUCGAGCCCUGGCCUGGAAGGGGUACCCCAUAUUUGUUCAUCUGCACUUCCUUAGUCAGAAUCCAGUCCCAAAGCCCUAUGAGUGCCUGGGGAGUGAGAAAGAUAUUCUAUCAGCAUGUCCAAAAGCACAAGUAAAGGAUGCAGCUGGAUACAAAAGCUGUUACCAGCCUACUAAAAUACCCAAACUGAGAAACCUCAAACUGGAAUGGCCUCUACUGUGCCAAACUAUACCACAUACAGUUUGUGAUCCUCACAUCUUGGUGUGUGAAAAAGAACUUCAAAGAGGCUUGUUUGAUGGAUUCAGGACCUCAUAGAAACUCAUGGAGCUCGUGGCUGUCUUGUGCUAAUAUUCUUUGCUAACAUUUAGUUAAUUUUGUUGCACGCAUGACAUGUGAUUUGUGUGAAUCUGCUUUGACAGUUUGAUCUUUUUUUAAAAAAUUAGUUGACAAAAAUUGCACAUAUUUAUCCUGUACAACAUAUUGUUUUGAAAUUGUGGAAGAGCUAAAUUGAAUGAAUUAACAUAUGAAUUAUCGUACAUUUUUUGUGAUGAGAACACUUAAAAUCUACUCUCUUAGCAACUUUCAAGAAUACAAUGCAUUGUUAUUAACUAUAGUUGCCAUGUUGUAAAAAAGAUCUCAUGAAUUUAUUCUUCCUACCUCAACUGAAAUUUUGCAUCCUUUGACCAACAACUCCCCAACAAUUACCCCCAACCUUGCCCCUGGUAACCACCAUUCCACUCUUUACUUCUGAGUUCAAAGUUUUUAGAUUUCACAUAUAACAGAUCAUGUGAUAUUUGUCUUUCUGUGCCUGGCUUAUUUUACUUAAUGUCCUUCAGGUUCAUCCGUGUUGUCACAAAUAAUGGGAUCUCUUUCUUUUUUUUAAAGAUAAAUAGUAUUCUAUUGUAUCUGUAUACCACAUUUAAAAAAACUAUUCAUUUGCUGAUAAGCAUUUAGGUUGAUUCCAUAUUUGGGCUAUUGUCAAUAAUUAUGCAAAAAACAUGAGACUGAAUUAUAACAAAUUGUAUUAAGUAUCACAUUUAGGGCAAUUUAAUCUUAGAAGUAUGACCCCAAUAAAAUUACUUAGC